GGGAGCAAACAGGAUUAGAUACCCUGGUAGUCCACGCCGUAAACGAUGUCGACUUGGAGGUUGUGCCCUUGAGGCGUGGCUUCCGGAGCUAACGCGUUAAGUCGACCGCCUGGGGAGUACGGCCGCAAGGUUAAAACUCAAAUGAAUUGACGGGGGCCCGCACAAGCGGUGGAGCAUGUGGUUUAAUUCGAUGCAACGCGAAGAACCUUACCUGGUCUUGACAUCCACGGAAGUUUUCAGAGAUGAGAAUGUGCCUUCGGGAACCGUGAGACAGGUGCUGCAUGGCUGUCGUCAGCUCGUGUUGUGAAAUGUUGGGUUAAGUCCCGCAACGAGCGCAACCCUUAUCCUUUGUUGCCAGCGGUCCGGCCGGGAACUCAAAGGAGACUGCCAGUGAUAAACUGGAGGAAGGUGGGGAUGACGUCAAGUCAUCAUGGCCCUUACGACCAGGGCUACACACGUGCUACAAUGGCGCAUACAAAGAGA
Molecule: ribosomal RNA, 483 nt
Filed under: Escherichia coli
Lineage: Bacteria; Pseudomonadati; Pseudomonadota; Gammaproteobacteria; Enterobacterales; Enterobacteriaceae
Description: bacterial SSU rRNA
Rfam family: Bacterial small subunit ribosomal RNA
Source: RNAcentral